AUGGGGUCUGGGGAAGUUAGCAAGGGAUCUCAGGCUGGGCUGUGCACCAGUCCCCUUCCUCCCUGCACUGUUCCCGGCACUGACCUGGGCCUAUCCUUGCUGUCUCUUGCUCCUUCUGAUCCUCGCCACGAGUGCGCCGCCGCCACACUUGGUUCGGCAGACCUGCAAAGGGCCAGGGUGGGGACAGGAGGCUGCUGCAGCCGGGCGCUUGGCGCCUUCCCGACCCCGCGUCCCCUACUCCCACCAACCCCCCUUUCCGCGCCUAGCCGCCCCGGGUCCCCGCCCCCACCCUCAGAUGCCCCCAUCCCCGCCCCGCUCCCAGGUGACUCAGGGAUGAUUUCCCAUCGCUCUGAGUUGCUUUCCUGCCUUCCUGGAAACUUGCCCCUGCACCCCCACUCCAGGGGCCACUAUUUCUGUUCCCAGGAAAGCCGGGAUGUGGAGAGGGCUUGCUGGGACUCGUCGCGCUAAAUCCCUGUGCCGGCCUCUGGGGUUGGCUGGCAGCUGCCUCCCUGGCGUCAGCGCGUGGCCCUGGGGCCCUUACCUGCUCCGCUUGCUGCGGGCCUGAUGCCAACCCGCCGUGCGCAGGGGAGUGGGGAGCUGGUACCCAGACAGGAGUGACGACUGCACCGAAGGCUGCGUCGCUCUGCAGCUCGCGAUCACGUGAGCACCCCACGUCACCGCCGAGCUCGCCCCAACUCCGGCGGCCAGUGCAGC
RNAcentral lists this long non-coding RNA (714 nucleotides) under Bos grunniens (domestic yak). RNAcentral's name for it is "lncRNA (ENSBGRG00000023145.1)". Lineage: Eukaryota; Metazoa; Chordata; Mammalia; Artiodactyla; Bovidae. The record is from RNAcentral.